CCGCGUGUGUGAAGAAGGCUUCGGGUUGUAAAGCACUUUCAGUCGUGAGGAAGGUAGUGUAGUUAAUAGCUGCAUUAUUUGACGUUAGCGACAGAAGAAGCACCGGCUAACUCCGUGCCAGCAGCCGCGGUAAUACGGAGGGUGCGAGCGUUAAUCGGAAUUACUGGGCGUAAAGCGCAUGCAGGUGGUUUGUUAAGUCAGAUGUGAAAGCCCGGGGCUCAACCUCGGAAUAGCAUUUGAAACUGGCAGACUAGAGUACUGUAGAGGGGGGUAGAAUUUCAGGUGUAGCGGUGAAAUGCGUAGAGAUCUGAAGGAAUACCGGUGGCGAAGGCGGCCCCCUGGACAGAUACUGACACUCAGAUGCGAAAGCGUGGGGAGCAAACAGGAUUAGAUACCCUGGUAGUCCACGCCGUAAACGAUGUCUACUUGGAGGUUGUGGCCUUGAGCCGUGGCUUUCGGAGCUAACGCGUUAAGUAGACCGCCUGGGGAGUACGGUCGCAAGAUUAAAACUCAAAUGAAUUGACGGGGGCCCGCACAAGCGGUGGAGCAUGUGGUUUAAUUCGAUGCAACGCGAAGAACUUACCUACUCUUGACAUCCAGAGAACUUUCCAGAGAUGGAUUGGUGCCUUCGGGAACUCUGAGACAGGUGCUGCAUGGCUGUCGUCAGCUCGUGUUGUGAAAUGUUGGGUUAAGUCCCGCAACGAGCGCAACCCUUAUCCUUGUUUGCCAGCACUUCGGGUGGGAACUCCAGGGAGACUGCCGGUGAUAAACCGGAGGAAGGUGGGGACGACGUCAAGUCAUCAUGGCCCUUACGAGUAGGGCUACACACGUGCUACAAUGGCGCAUACAGAGGGCGGCCAACUUGCGAGAGUGAGCGAAUCCCAAAAAGUGCGUCGUAUCCGGAUCGGAGUCUGCAACUCGACUCCGUGAAGUCGGAAUCGCUAGUAAUCGUGGAUCAGAAUGCCACGGUGAAUACGUUCCCGGGCCUUGUACACACCGCCCGUCACACCAUGGGAGUGGGCUGCAAAAGAAGUAGGUAGUUUAACCUUCGGGAGGACGCUUACCACUUUGUGGUUCAUGACUGGGGUGAAGUCG
This 1095-nucleotide ribosomal RNA is filed under the name Vibrio harveyi. RNAcentral's name for it is "bacterial SSU rRNA". It matches the Rfam family "Bacterial small subunit ribosomal RNA", at positions 397 to 1488 of the family's 1533-position model. The record is from RNAcentral. Lineage: Bacteria; Pseudomonadati; Pseudomonadota; Gammaproteobacteria; Vibrionales; Vibrionaceae.